This 132-nucleotide small RNA is filed under the name Citrobacter sp. RHB35-C21. RNAcentral describes it as "RtT sRNA". It matches the Rfam family "RtT RNA". From Rfam's summary of the family: This family represents a bacterial cis-regulatory element known as RtT RNA. The exact function of RtT is unknown although it is thought that it may be involved in changing the cellular response in relation to amino acid starvation. The record is from RNAcentral. Lineage: Bacteria; Pseudomonadati; Pseudomonadota; Gammaproteobacteria; Enterobacterales; Enterobacteriaceae.
UAUUCUGCCCAAGCGGGGAGGAUGAGAAGCUUCGACUAAGGUUCGAUUCGAGCGUUAGCGAGAAAGCGUUGCCGCAGGCAACGACCCGAAGGGCGAAGCGCACCGCGCUGAGUAAUCCUUCCCCCACCACCA